Molecule: small RNA, 207 nt
Filed under: Pongo abelii (Sumatran orangutan)
Lineage: Eukaryota; Metazoa; Chordata; Mammalia; Primates; Hominidae
Description: Metazoan signal recognition particle RNA (ENSPPYG00000037775.1)
Rfam family: Metazoan signal recognition particle RNA
About the family: The signal recognition particle (SRP) is a universally conserved ribonucleoprotein. It is involved in the co-translational targeting of proteins to membranes. The eukaryotic SRP consists of a 300-nucleotide 7S RNA and six proteins: SRPs 72, 68, 54, 19, 14, and 9.
Source: Rfam by way of RNAcentral
AAGAGACCUUUAAGACAGUUGGUUAUUAUGCCAACUGGGUGUCCGCACUAAGUUUGGUAUCAGUAUGGUGACCUUCUGGGAACAGGGGGCCAUUGGGUUGCCUAAGGAUGGGAGAACUGGCCUAGGUCAGAAAGGAAGCAGGUCAGAAUUCCUGCACCAAUCGGUAGUGGGAGUGUGCCUGGGCAAUAUAGCAAGAUCUUGGUUCUU